RNAcentral lists this ribosomal RNA (118 nucleotides) under Pteropus alecto (black flying fox). Lineage: Eukaryota; Metazoa; Chordata; Mammalia; Chiroptera; Pteropodidae. The record is from RNAcentral.
GUCUAUGCCAUGCAACUCUGAACAAGUCCGAUCCCGUACUAACUCGGAAGCUAAGCAGGAUCGGGCCUGGUUAGUACUUGGAUGGGAGACCACCUAGGAAGACCAGGUGCUGUAGGUG